RNAcentral lists this ribosomal RNA (533 nucleotides) under uncultured Cenococcum. RNAcentral describes it as "eukaryotic LSU rRNA". The stretch from base 171 to 324 matches the Rfam family "5.8S ribosomal RNA". The record is from RNAcentral. Lineage: Eukaryota; Fungi; Ascomycota; Dothideomycetes; Gloniales; Gloniaceae.
UCCGUAGGUGAACCUGCGGAAGGAUCAUUACAGAAAGUAAACGCGGAUCGAACCGCGAACUUCUAAACCUUUGACGAUUGACUCAUGUUGCCUCGGCGGGUUCUCCCGCCAGAGGAUACAUCAAAACUCCUGUUUUAACGGUGUUGUCUGAGCUACAAGCAACGAAUCAAAACUUUCAACAACGGAUCUCUUGGUUCUGGCAUCGAUGAAGAACGCAGCGAAAUGCGAUAAGUAGUGUGAAUUGCAGAAUUCAGUGAAUCAUCGAAUCUUUGAACGCACAUUGCGCCCCUUGGUAUCCCGAGGGGCAUGCCUGUUAGAGCGUCAUUUCACCACUCAAGCCUGGCUUGGUGUUGGGCGACGUCCCCUUUGGGGACGCGCCUCGAAACGCUCGGCGGCGUGGCACCGGCUUUAAGCGUAGCAGAAUCUUUCGCUUUAAAAGUCGGGGCCCCGUCUGCCGGAAGACCUACUCGCAAGGUUGACCUCGGAUCAGGCAGGGAUACCCGCUGAACUUAAGCAUAUCAAUAAGCGGAGGA